UACGUAGGGUGCAAGCGUUGUCCGGAAUUAUUGGGCGUAAAGAGCUCGUAGGCGGUCUGUUGCGUCGGCUGUGAAAACCCGGGGCUCAACUCCGGGCCUGCAGCCGAUACGGGCAGACUAGAGUUCGGCAGGGGAGACUGGAAUUCCUGGUGUAGCGGUGAAAUGCGCAGAUAUCAGGAGGAACACCGGUGGCUAAGGCGGGUCUCUGGACAGGUACUGACGCUGAGACGCGAAAGCGUGGGUAGCAAACAGG
This 253-nucleotide ribosomal RNA is filed under the name uncultured bacterium. Its description in RNAcentral is "partial 16S ribosomal RNA". It matches the Rfam family "Bacterial small subunit ribosomal RNA", at positions 524 to 776 of the family's 1533-position model. The record is from RNAcentral.